RNAcentral lists this ribosomal RNA (833 nucleotides) under uncultured bacterium. Its description in RNAcentral is "bacterial SSU rRNA". It matches the Rfam family "Bacterial small subunit ribosomal RNA", at positions 616 to 1450 of the family's 1533-position model. The record is from RNAcentral.
GGGAACUGCGUUNUGAACUGGGUAGCUAGAGUAUGUCAGAGGGGGGUAGAAUUCCACGUGUAGCAGUGAAAUGCGUAGAGAUGUGGAGGAAUACCGAUGGCGAAGGCAGCCCCCUGGGAUAAUACUGACGUUCAUGCUNGAAAGCGUGGGUAGCAAACAGGAUUAGAUACCCUGGUAGUCCACGCCCUAAACGAUGUCGAUUAGCUGUUGGGCAACUUGAUUGCUUAGUAGCGUAGCUAACGCGUGAAAUCGACCGCCUGGGGAGUACGGUCGCAAGAUUAAAACUCAAAGGAAUUGACGGGGACCCGCACAAGCGGUGGAUGAUGUGGAUUAAUUCGAUGCAACGCGAAGAACCUUACCUGGUCUUGACAUGUACGGAAGAACUCAGAGACGAGUUUGUGCCUUCGGGAGCCGUAACACAGGUGCUGCAUGGCUGUCGUCAGCUCGUGUCGUGAGAUGUUGGGUUAAGUCCCGCAACGAGCGCAACCCUUGUCAUUAGUUGCCAUCAUUUAGUUGGGCACUCUAAUGAGACUGCCGGUGACAAACCAGAGGAAGGUGGGGAUGACGUCAAGUCCUCAUGGCCCUUAUGACCAGGGCUUCACACGUCGUACAAUGGUCGGUACAGAGGGUAGCCAAACCGCGAGGUGGAGCCAAUCCCAGAAAACCGAUCGUAGUCCGGAUUGCACUCUGCAACUCGAGUGCAUGAAGUCGGAAUCGCUAGUAAUCGCAGGUCAGCAUACUGCGGUGAAUACGUUCCCGGGUCUUGUACACACCGCCCGUCACACCAUGGGAGUGGGGGAUACCAGAAGUAGGUAGGGUAACCGCAAGGAGCC